GACGAACGCUGGCGGCGUGCUUAACACAUGCAAGUCGAACGGAAAGGCCCUGCUUUUGUGGGGUGCUCGAGUGGCGAACGGGUGAGUAACACGUGAGUAACCUGCCCUUGACUUUGGGAUAACUUCAGGAAACUGGGGCUAAUACCGGAUAGGAGCUCCUGCUGCAUGGUGGGGGUUGGAAAGUUUCGGCGGUUGGGGAUGGACUCGCGGCUUAUCAGCUUGUUGGUGGGGUAGUGGCUUACCAAGGCUUUGACGGGUAGCCGGCCGGAGAGGGUGACCGGCCACAUUGGGACUGAGGUACGGCCCAGACUCCUACGGGAGGCAGCAGUGGGGAAUAUUGCACAAUGGGCGGAAGCCUGAUGCAGCAACGCCGCGUGCGGGAUGACGGCCUUCGGGUUGUAAACCGCUUUCGCCUGUGACGAAGCGUGAGUGACGGUAAUGGGUAAAGAAGCACCGGCUAACUACGUG
This 468-nucleotide ribosomal RNA is filed under the name uncultured bacterium. RNAcentral's name for it is "partial 16S ribosomal RNA". It matches the Rfam family "Bacterial small subunit ribosomal RNA", at positions 28 to 507 of the family's 1533-position model. The record is from RNAcentral.